GGGGUUGUGGCUCAGUGGCAGAGCGCUUGCCUAGCAUUCGUGAGGCCCUGAGUUCAAUCCCUAGCACCCCA
RNAcentral lists this transfer RNA (71 nucleotides) under Ictidomys tridecemlineatus (thirteen-lined ground squirrel). RNAcentral's name for it is "Spermophilus tridecemlineatus (thirteen-lined ground squirrel) tRNA". It matches the Rfam family "tRNA". Rfam says of the family: Transfer RNA (tRNA) molecules are approximately 80 nucleotides in length. Their secondary structure includes four short double-helical elements and three loops (D, anti-codon, and T loops). The record is from Rfam by way of RNAcentral. Lineage: Eukaryota; Metazoa; Chordata; Mammalia; Rodentia; Sciuridae.